GAUGAACGCUGGCGGCGUGCUUAACACAUGCAAGUCGAACGGUGAAGGCGGAGCUUGCUCUGCUGGAUCAGCGGCGAACGGGUGAGUAACACGUGAGCAAUCUGCCCCUGACUCUGGGAUAAGCGCUGGAAACGGCGUCUAAUACUGGAUACGAGCUGCGAAGGCAUCUUCAGCAGCUGGAAAGAAUUUCGGUCAGGGAUGAGCUCGCGGCCUAUCAGCUUGUUGGUGAGGUAAUGGCUCACCAAGGCGUCGACGGGUAGCCGGCCUGAGAGGGUGACCGGCCACACUGGGACUGAGACACGGCCCAGACUCCUACGGGAGGCAGCAGUGGGGAAUAUUGCACAAUGGGCGAAAGCCUGAUGCAGCAACGCCGCGUGAGGGACGACGGCCUUCGGGUUGUAAACCUCUUUUAGCAGGGAAGAAGCGAAAGUGACGGUACCUGCAGAAAAAGCGCCGGCUAACUACGUG
RNAcentral lists this ribosomal RNA (468 nucleotides) under uncultured bacterium. RNAcentral describes it as "partial 16S ribosomal RNA". It matches the Rfam family "Bacterial small subunit ribosomal RNA", at positions 28 to 507 of the family's 1533-position model. The record is from RNAcentral.